Molecule: ribosomal RNA, 577 nt
Filed under: Acremonium sp. x1
Lineage: Eukaryota; Fungi; Ascomycota; Sordariomycetes; Hypocreales; Bionectriaceae
Description: eukaryotic LSU rRNA
Rfam family: 5.8S ribosomal RNA (bases 189-342)
Source: RNAcentral
UCCGUAGGGGUGACCUGCGGAGGGAUCAUUACCGAGUGUAAAAACUCCCAAACCAUUGUGAACCUACCACUGUUGCUUCGGCGGCCUCGCCCCGGGCGCGUUCGCGCGGCCCGGACCCAGGCGUCCGCCGGAGGCUCCAAACUCUUGUCUUUUAGUGUAUUUCUGAGUGGCAUAAGCAAAUAAAUCAAAACUUUCAGCAACGGAUCUCUUGGUUCUGGCAUCGAUGAAGAACGCAGCAAAAUGCGAUAAGUAAUGUGAAUUGCAGAAUUCAGUGAAUCAUCGAAUCUUUGAACGCACAUUGCGCCCGCCAGUAUUCUGGCGGGCAUGCCUGUCUGAGCGUCAUUUCAACCCUCAGGACCCGUUCGCGGGACCUGGCGUUGGGGAUCAGCCUGCCCCUGGCGGCGGCUGGCCCUGAAAUCCAGUGGCGGUUCCCUCGCGAACUCCUCCGUGCAGUAAUUAAACCUCUCGCGGCAGGAUAGCGGUUGAACCACGCCGUUAAACCCCCCACUUCUCAAGGUUGACCUCAGAUCAGGUAGGAAUACCCGCUGAACUUAAGCAUAUCAUAAGGCCGGAGGAA